Molecule: long non-coding RNA, 1502 nt
Filed under: Olea europaea subsp. europaea
Lineage: Eukaryota; Viridiplantae; Streptophyta; Magnoliopsida; Lamiales; Oleaceae
Source: RNAcentral
CCUUCAACUUCACUAAAAAACCCUAUUCUUCAUUUUUGAAAUUAAAUUAGCAUUGUCUUCCUCUUUGCCUUUUCAUCAUCUUCAAUCCAAUAAAACUUCGAAGAUUCGAAAUUUGUACAUCAACGGCUUCUUCAACGACAAAAUUAUUGGCGUUGAUGUUAGUAUUGAAAGAAAUCAAGAAAGAAGAGUACUAAAAUCAACUGUAAAUGCCUACAGAAACAUACCCGCCGCUGUCGCUGUAUUACAAGCUCUACAAGGAUUAUCUACGGUAUCCAAACUCUGCUCUCGAGCCACCGCCCCCAAUCCCAGGUACUUAUGUUCUCUACGGUUCAAAUUACACAAACCUUAAUUAUCAAUUUUUAUUUGUAUUUUUUGUGUUAUGCUUUUGUAUGUAAGUUUCUUAAUGAAAGUUAGCUUUCUUAUAUUGGAUUUGUGAAGUAGCAUUCCAAUAUGGUGAUAGUCAAAAGGGUCAUUUUAAUUUUUCACCAAGUUUUCUUUUUAUUAGUUAUGGGUUUGAAUUGAGGAUGACGUUGAAUAAAUAAUGGUGAAGGAAAGAAAGAAAUUGGUCUAUACUAAUUAAGCAAUUUCAUUUUUGAAUUUUGAUCCUUUAGGAGAUGUUAAUAAUUUUUUCAUGAUUGUCAUGUAUUCGAAAUAUUUCAAUUAAAAUCUGGUAGCAUAUGUAAGCUAGUUCUAUAUAUAUAUUUAUUGCUCUGAAACUAAAUAAGUCAAUCCUCAUUGUAAAAAUUCAGUUGCCAAAAGUUUAUUUAUGUUCUUUUGAGUUAUGUAAAAGGAUAACCUUGUUUUAAACUUUUUAUGCAGAUUGAUAAUGUGCUUCCUACUCUAUUAGAGGAGGGCGUCCAUCAAUCAUAUCCAAAAGGGGAAAAUGUUGGUAUGAUUUGCAUAUUGCUUCAUUUUUUUACAAUGGUUUUGAAUGUGAAGGAUAUUGAAUCAGCCACUAUACCACUUUAUUGCCAUCAGUAGGCAUUUUAGUAUCAAAUUUUCAAGCAGUAUGUUGACCUUUUGCUUUGCUGCUAUUUGAUGAUCAUUUGUACCUGUGGAGGUUUAGUAUAUUUGAGCAUGCACAUUUUUCUUCAUUUAUGCUUGGAGUUUGUAAGUUAUUCGUUCGGUUUCAUCUAACAGCAAGUUCUCAAGAUGCAAUUGGCUUCUAUAUAGCUGUGGUUUUCACUACUUCUGUAGAUUAUUGAAAAAGUAAUCUAUUGUUGAACUAUAUAGUAUUUUCCUUACUCUUUUAGCGGCUGCUGAUCAGAUAGGCAAUAUAGGAGUUUUGUAAUUCUUGAUGGAUACACUUAUCCACUAUAUUGAAGGUGUCACUGUAUUUACAUUGCAUGUGUUUUCAUGACCAAUUGUUUGACAUGUUGCAUUGAUGCUAUGACUUUGACGGAAUUUGUGCAAGCUCAGUUCAAUAUAAAUUUGUGCAAGCUUUGUAUCAUGUGAUCUACUUUUCUUACGUACUUUAGGGAUCCAAUGCUUGAAGAUUAAAG